RNAcentral lists this ribosomal RNA (748 nucleotides) under Acinetobacter baumannii OIFC143. RNAcentral describes it as "bacterial SSU rRNA". It matches the Rfam family "Bacterial small subunit ribosomal RNA", at positions 28 to 771 of the family's 1533-position model. RNAcentral also lists the same sequence under 1 other name. Lineage: Bacteria; Pseudomonadati; Pseudomonadota; Gammaproteobacteria; Moraxellales; Moraxellaceae. The record is from RNAcentral.
AUUGAACGCUGGCGGCAGGCUUAACACAUGCAAGUCGAGCGGGGGAAGGUAGCUUGCUACCGGACCUAGCGGCGGACGGGUGAGUAAUGCUUAGGAAUCUGCCUAUUAGUGGGGGACAACAUCUCGAAAGGGAUGCUAAUACCGCAUACGUCCUACGGGAGAAAGCAGGGGAUCUUCGGACCUUGCGCUAAUAGAUGAGCCUAAGUCGGAUUAGCUAGUUGGUGGGGUAAAGGCCUACCAAGGCGACGAUCUGUAGCGGGUCUGAGAGGAUGAUCCGCCACACUGGGACUGAGACACGGCCCAGACUCCUACGGGAGGCAGCAGUGGGGAAUAUUGGACAAUGGGGGGAACCCUGAUCCAGCCAUGCCGCGUGUGUGAAGAAGGCCUUAUGGUUGUAAAGCACUUUAAGCGAGGAGGAGGCUACUUUAGUUAAUACCUAGAGAUAGUGGACGUUACUCGCAGAAUAAGCACCGGCUAACUCUGUGCCAGCAGCCGCGGUAAUACAGAGGGUGCGAGCGUUAAUCGGAUUUACUGGGCGUAAAGCGUGCGUAGGCGGCUUAUUAAGUCGGAUGUGAAAUCCCCGAGCUUAACUUGGGAAUUGCAUUCGAUACUGGUGAGCUAGAGUAUGGGAGAGGAUGGUAGAAUUCCAGGUGUAGCGGUGAAAUGCGUAGAGAUCUGGAGGAAUACCGAUGGCGAAAGCAGCCAUCUGGCCUAAUACUGACGCUGAGUACGAAAGCAUGGGGAGCAA